UUUAUGGAGAGUUUGAUCCUGGCUCAGGAUGAACGCUGGCGGCGUGCCUAAUACAUGCAAGUCGAGCGAACGGACGAGAAGCUUGCUUCUCUGAUGUUAGCGGCGGACGGGUGAGUAACACGUGGAUAACCUACCUAUAAGACUGGGAUAACUUCGGGAAACCGGAGCUAAUACCGGAUAAUAUUUUGAACCGCAUGGUUCAAAAGUGAAAGACGGUCUUACUGUCACUUAUAGAUGGAUCCGCGCUGCAUUAGCUAGUUGGUAAGGUAACGGCUUACCAAGGCAACGAUGCAUAGCCGACCUGAGAGGGUGAUCGGCCACACUGGAACUGAGACACGGUCCAGACUCUUACGGGAGGCAGCAGUAGGGAAUCUUCCGCAAUGGGCGAAAGCCUGACGGAGCAACGCCGCGUGAGUGAUGAAGGUCUUCGGAUCGUAAAACUCUGUUAUUAGGGAAGAACAUAUGUGUAAGUAACUGUGCACAUCUUGACGGUACCUAAUCAGAAAGCCACGGCUAACUACGUGCCAGCAGCCGCGGUAAUACGUAGGUGGCAAGCGUUAUCCGGAAUUAUUGGGCGUAAAGCGCGCGUAGGCGGUUUUAAGUCUGAUGUGAAAGCCCACGGCUCAACCGUGGAGGGUCAUUGGAAACUGGAAAACUUGAGUGCAGAAGAGGAAAGUGGAAUUCCAUGUGUAGCGGUGAAAUGCGCAGAGAUAUGGAGGAACACCAGUGGCGAAGGCGACUUUCUGGUCUGUAACUGACGCUGAUGUGCGAAAGCGUGGGGAUCAAACAGGAUUAGAUACCCUGGUAGUCCACGCCGUAAACGAUGAGUGCUAAGUGUUAGGGGGUUUCCGCCCCUUAGUGCUGCAGCUAACGCAUUAAGCACUCCGCCUGGGGAGUACGACCGCAAGGUUGAAACUCAAAGGAAUUGACGGGGACCCGCACAAGCGGUGGAGCAUGUGGUUUAAUUCGAAGCAACGCGAAGAACCUUACCAAAUCUUGACAUCCUUUGACAACUCUAGAGAUAGAGCUUUCCCCUUCGGGGGACAAAGUGACAGGUGGUGCAUGGUUGUCGUCAGCUCGUGUCGUGAGAUGUUGGGUUAAGUCCCGCAACGAGCGCAACCCUUAAGCUUAGUUGCCAUCAUUAAGUUGGGCACUCUAAGUUGACUGCCGGUGACAAACCGGAGGAAGGUGGGGAUGACGUCAAAUCAUCAUGCCCCUUAUGAUUUGGGCUACACACGUGCUACAAUGGACAAUACAAAGGGCAGCGAAACCGUGAGGUCAAGCAAAUCCCAUAAAGUUGUUCUCAGUUCGGAUUGUAGUCUGCAACUCGACUACAUGAAGCUGGAAUCGCUAGUAAUCGUAGAUCAGCAUGCUACGGUGAAUACGUUCCCGGGUCUUGUACACACCGCCCGUCACACCACGAGAGUUUGUAACACCCGAAGCCGGUGGAGUAACCUUUUAGGAGCUAGCCGUCGAAGGUGGGACAAAUGAUUGGGGUGAAGUCGUAACAAGGUAGCCGUAUCGGAAGGUGCGGCUGGAUCACCUCCUUUCU
This 1552-nucleotide ribosomal RNA is filed under the name Staphylococcus aureus. Its description in RNAcentral is "16S ribosomal RNA". It matches the Rfam family "Bacterial small subunit ribosomal RNA". The record is from RNAcentral. Lineage: Bacteria; Bacillati; Bacillota; Bacilli; Caryophanales; Staphylococcaceae.